GGGCCCGUGGCGCAGCACGGACAGCUCCGCCCGCGGAGCGCAGCGGCCUUCUAAGCCGUAGGUCGGGGGUUCAAGUCCCCCCGGGCCCG
RNAcentral lists this transfer RNA (89 nucleotides) under Candidatus Bathyarchaeota archaeon. RNAcentral describes it as "tRNA-Arg". It matches the Rfam family "tRNA". From Rfam's summary of the family: Transfer RNA (tRNA) molecules are approximately 80 nucleotides in length. Their secondary structure includes four short double-helical elements and three loops (D, anti-codon, and T loops). Further hydrogen bonds mediate the characteristic L-shaped molecular structure. tRNAs have two regions of fundamental functional importance: the anti-codon, which is responsible for specific mRNA codon recognition, and the 3' end, to which the tRNAs corresponding amino acid is attached (by aminoacyl-tRNA synthetases). tRNAs cope with the degeneracy of the genetic code in two manners: having more than one tRNA (with a specific anti-codon) for a particular amino acid; and 'wobble' base-pairing, i.e. permitting non-standard base-pairing at the 3rd anti-codon position. Lineage: Archaea; Thermoproteati; Candidatus Bathyarchaeota. The record is from RNAcentral.